RNAcentral lists this long non-coding RNA (1072 nucleotides) under Arabidopsis lyrata. RNAcentral's name for it is "long non-coding RNA (ALYR_LNC003258)". Lineage: Eukaryota; Viridiplantae; Streptophyta; Magnoliopsida; Brassicales; Brassicaceae. The record is from RNAcentral.
GAUAACUAAUAAAAAUUAAAUGAUAAAUCACUAUUAAAGUUAACAAACGUUCCUUAACUAAGAGACAUUUUAUUCACCUAAGAGGUGGACACGUGUCUCACUAUCAAUCGUCGCGUUUUCUCUGCCUCUCUCUCUCUUCUUGCGACUGAGAAACCGAAGAACCAAAAUCUUCAAAUCUUCGUCUCCUCUGUUGAUUGUUACAGCCGGUGAAUCAAAGGAUGGCAUCUUCUUCCUCUCUCUCUCUCUCUCUCACGUGUUUCUCUUCAAAGGUGAAGGAGAUCAUUUGGAGUUUAAUCGGACAAGUCUCCGAUGUAGAAACGAAGAAGAUUACUUCAAUUGAGAUUGAGAGGCAUAGAGAGAGAUUUGAUUAUUCGAUCGAAUCAAGCUUUGUUUGUUAGUAGCGGGAAUAGCUUAUGAAGAAAUCUCAAUCCAAGCACUAAUUGAGCGGUCACACUAAUCCAUGGCUAUGUCAAUUACUAGUAAAUAUCAUAUUCUGCAAUCUAGUUUGAAGUAUAGGUUAAUUGUGGUCAGAUUAUAACAUCAAUGAUGAUGAUGAUUUCCUAAACAAUGCUUCGUGAUUUCAUAGUUCGAACUCCUAAUUGACAAUUAAAGGAACAAUAUGGUGAGGAUUGAGACGACGGAGUGAAGACGGUGAUGAAUCGAAGACUGAAUGAGGUUUGUGGAUGCAGGUUUGCUAUGUUGCGUUUUGGGAUGAAGUUACUCUUGCAACACAAGAAGCAGAGGGGUCAUAAGAUCAAUGAGAAUGAUCACAUUGGAAAGUGGCGUAUAAUGAUUGUAAAGGAUCUGCCUUUUACAGACCAAAGGCUUACUUUCUUUUCUCAAGUGAGUUAUUAGAGUUGUUGAAUGUGUAAGAGAGUCCAGCUCUUGUUUGUAAGUUUAGUCGAAUCUCUAGAAGUCUAAGUGAGUCUAAGUGUGUGUAGUUAGUAGAAGAGUAACUAACUACUAUAAGAAUGCUAUGUGUGUGAUGUUGUAAGAUCAUUUUUGAUCCAAUAAUAAAAAUGUAGUCAAUUAAAAGAGUUAUCUCUUCUCUCUUAGUUACAAAACGUUUUGU